CCUACGGGAGGCAGCAGUGGGGAAUAUUGCACAAUGGGGGAAACCCUGAUGCAGCGACGCCGCGUGAGUGAAGAAGUAAUUAGUUGUGUAAAGCUCUAUCAGCAGGGAAGAAAAUGACGGUACCUGAGUAAGAAGCCCCGGCUAACUACGUGCCAGCAGCCGCGGUAAUCCGUCGGGAGCACGCGUUAUUCGGGUUUACUGGGUGUUAAGGGGGCGUUGACGGCAAUGCAAGGUCGGUGGGAAAGGCGUGGGGUCAACCCCCGUAGUGCCCUGGACACUGGAGGGCUGGAGUGCACGAGAGGUAAGUGGAAUGCGUAGUGUAGCGGUGAAAUGCGUAGAUAUUAGGAGGAACACCAGUGGCGAAGGCGGCUUACUGGACUGUAACUGACGUUGAGGCUCGAAAGCGUGGGGAGCAAACAGGAUUAGAUACCCUGGUAGUC
Molecule: ribosomal RNA, 440 nt
Filed under: uncultured bacterium
Lineage: Bacteria
Description: partial 16S ribosomal RNA
Rfam family: Bacterial small subunit ribosomal RNA
Source: RNAcentral